RNAcentral lists this long non-coding RNA (1329 nucleotides) under Takifugu rubripes (torafugu). RNAcentral describes it as "lncRNA (ENSTRUG00000032229.1)". The record is from RNAcentral. Lineage: Eukaryota; Metazoa; Chordata; Actinopteri; Tetraodontiformes; Tetraodontidae.
ACCUGACUGAGCUAUUACAUCAGCUGUGUGUUUUGACGAAUAUUCACGUUUAUUAUCUAUAAAUCUUAGUUUAAAAAAAUAAAAAUAAUCGGACGUCAUCCUUAAACGCGUCCAUCUAGGAACCGUUACUAAUUACCCGGUACAUUUACAGGUUGACCCGCAAAAGCGAUUCAGUCAGUUUUGGUAUAUAUUACUUUAUUAAAGAUUAAGAAUGUGUUUUAACGGUACCAAUGUACAUAUGGACAAAUAAGACCAAAUGCGCAAAAGACUCUGUUUAUUACAGUUUAUCCAGUUACUAUGAUUCAACUACGAAAAAGACGUCAGUCAGUCAAUUUAGUGACGAACCCUACAUCCAGCCAUGUGUCGUGUUUUUACCGUGAGCUGCCGAGCUCGUCUGCUGCCAGGCCACUGCCAGUAGUUUGACCAUCACAAAUUGGAUCAAAACCAGUGACUUUAAUUAACUGAAUGCCAAAAUGAGCUCUCUGCUGCUGCUGUUGCAAGAAAAGAAACCCGCAAAGGCACCAAAAUGUGACUACAGUAGUGUACACACAUCCGUCUUCUUCCCAAAUACCCGUUUCUGGGCCUCAGCCACAGUACCCAGCUUACCAGCCAGUACCUCAGCAAGCACACGGCGUACCUUACAUGACAGCACCUCCACCAUCAUACCAGGAAGCUAGUGAGAUAACACACACACACACACACACACACACACACACACACACACACACACACACACACACACACACACACACACACACAUAUACAUACUUCUGAGGUGUUUAACACAAAAUUGUGUUUUGUGUUUUCAGCUGAUCCAGCUCUCUUGCCACACAACCCAGGGAUGAUGUUCCUCCACCCCAGUCAGCCUUCUGGGCACUCAGACGUGCACACACAGUUGCCCUACAAUCCUGCUUUUUACCCAAACACAGCCUCAUUUAACCAACCUGUCAAUAAGUACUGAGUACCACUAGAUGGCGCCACCGUGUUAUGCAUUCCAUUGCAUUCCGCCACCUUCUUAUGCAUUCCAAACAGUCACAAAAGGGUCAAACCUGCUGAUGGUGCUGUAGCUGUGAAGAAAAAUGCCCUCAUAAAUAAUGUUUUGUUUACGUAUUGCUUGCAAUCAAUCGAUAUAGGAUUGAUUUACACAAUUGUUGGUCAAUCCACACACAAAGCUUAAGAAAUGAAACUAUUGCCGUGGCCUUGAUUAUUGAUACUGUUAAACAUCACUAUUUAAGGUCAGUAAAGGUCAGGUCAGUAUAGAACAGCUUUUAUGCACUGUGUAAAAAAUAUUAUUGAUGUCUGUCUGCCUGUGCUAAAGUGAGUUAUGAU